GUCUACGGCCAUACCACCCUGAAUGCGCCCGAUCUCUUCUGAUCUCGGAAGCUAAGCAGGGUCGGGCCUGGUUAGUACUUGGAUGGGAGAUAUGUGGAUAAUGGGGAAU
Molecule: ribosomal RNA, 109 nt
Filed under: Mustela putorius furo (domestic ferret)
Lineage: Eukaryota; Metazoa; Chordata; Mammalia; Carnivora; Mustelidae
Source: RNAcentral